UGGGGAAUCUUGCGCAAUGGGCGAAAGCCUGACGCAGCGACGCCGCGUGAGGGAAGAAGGCCUUCGGGUUGUAAACCUCUUUCAGGAGGGACGAAGCCACUCGGGUUAAUAGCCCAGAGGGUGACGGUACCUCCAGAAGAAGCCCCGGCUAACUACGUGCCAGCAGCCGCGGUAAUACGUAGGGGGCUAGCGUUGUCCGGAUUUAUUGGGCGUAAAGAGCGUGUAGGCGGCCAGGUAGGUCUGCUGUGAAAAUCUCGAGGCUCAACCUCGAGACGUCGGCGGAAACCAUCUGGCUAGAGUCCGGAAGAGGAGAGUGGAAUUACUGGUGUAGCGGUGAAAUGCGCAGAUAUCAGGAAGAACACCCGUGGCGAAGGCGGCUCUCUGGGACGGUACUGACGCUGAGACGCGAAAGCGUGGGGAGCGAACAGGAUUAGAUACC
This 439-nucleotide ribosomal RNA is filed under the name uncultured bacterium. RNAcentral describes it as "bacterial SSU rRNA". It matches the Rfam family "Bacterial small subunit ribosomal RNA", at positions 355 to 786 of the family's 1533-position model. The record is from RNAcentral.